UCGAUUUUAGGAGCCUUUGUUG
Molecule: non-coding RNA, 22 nt
Filed under: Arabidopsis thaliana (thale cress)
Lineage: Eukaryota; Viridiplantae; Streptophyta; Magnoliopsida; Brassicales; Brassicaceae
Source: RNAcentral